This 991-nucleotide ribosomal RNA is filed under the name uncultured organism. RNAcentral describes it as "bacterial SSU rRNA". It matches the Rfam family "Bacterial small subunit ribosomal RNA", at positions 281 to 1258 of the family's 1533-position model. The record is from RNAcentral.
GGGUAGCCGAGCUGACAGGUUGAUCGGGCACACUGGAACUGAAACACGGUCCAGACACCUACGGGUGGCAACAGUAGGGAAUAUUGCGCAAUGGGCGAAAGCCUGACGCAGCCAUGCCGCGUGGAUGAUGAACGCCUUCGGGUCGUAAAGUCCUUUUCUGAGGGAAGAAAUGCGCGGAGGAGGAAAUGCCUUCGACUUGACGGUACCUCAGGAAUAAGCAACGGCUAACUCCGUGCCAGCAGCCGCGGUAAUACGGAGGUUGCAAGCGUUGUUCGGAAUGACUGGGCGUAAAGGGAGUGCAAGCGGCCAGGUCAGUCUGAAGUGAAAGCCCGGGGCUCAAGCCCUGUGAAUUGCUUUGGAUACUGCCUGGCUUGAGUGUGCGAGAGGAAAGCGGAAUACCAGGUGUAACGGUGACAUGCGUAGAUAUCUGGGGGAACAGCUGGUGGUGAAAGCGGCUUUCUGGCGCAUACCUGACGCUGAGGCUCGAAAGCCUGGGGAACGAACGGGAUUAGAUACCCCGGUAGUCCACGCCGUAAACCUUGUGCACUAGGUCUGGGAGGUAUCGACCCCUUCCGUGCCGGAGCUAACGCAUUAAGUGCACCGCCUGGGGAGUACGGUCGCAAGACUGAAACUCAAAGGAAUUGACGGGGGCCCGCACAAGCGCUGGAGCAUGUGGUUUAAUUCGAGGCAACGCGAAGAACCUUACCCAGGCUGGACAUCCCGAGACCGCCAUGGAAACAUGGUUUCCCCUUCGGGGGAUCGGUGACAGGUGUUGCAUGACUGUCGUCAGCUCGUGUCGUGAGAUGUUGGAUUAAGUCCCGCAACGAGCGCAACCCCUGCCCCUAGUUACUCAGCGUUUCGACCGGGCACUCUAGGGAGACUGCCGGUGAUAAACCGGAGGAAGGUGGGGACGACGUCAAGUCAUCACGGCCCCUUAUGCCUGGGGCGACACACGUGCUACAAUGGCCGGUACAAAGAGCAGCAAAGCCGC